This 598-nucleotide long non-coding RNA is filed under the name Marmota monax (woodchuck). Lineage: Eukaryota; Metazoa; Chordata; Mammalia; Rodentia; Sciuridae. The record is from RNAcentral.
AAUAAAUUUGGUGAAUUAACUCUAAGAAAGUCUUCUUUAUUAGAGGAUUUUCUCAGAAUAUUUUGUAUGCUAAUGUGUUUUAUGAACCUCAGGGGGCACUGCUCUUUGGCAUUUUCCAAGUUGUUUACCCACUCAACUCUUUUUCUUGUUGUCGUUUUUUCUUUUGUUUGUUUUUUGGUUCUGGGGUUUGAACCCAGGGGUGCUCUACAACUGAGCUAUCCCCAGCCCUUUUUGUUUUGAUUUUUUAUUUUGUGACAGGAUCUCAUGAAGCUGCCCAGGCUGGCCUUGAACUUUCCAUUCUCCUGCCUCAGCCUUCUGACUAGCUGGGAUGACAGGAGUGGCACCACCCAGGGCUUGACUCUGUUCUUGAUAGCCACAUCAUGACACUGCAUUGGAAUGGCUGGGGAAGCUUAGGUGUCCCACAGUUAUAAUGAGCCUGGUCCUUCUUCCCAGGCUGGCUUUCCAAAUACCUGUGCAUGGGCCUCAGGGAUAGUCUCCUCCCGUGUCUUCCUGACUUCUCCAUGGUGAGGUUCUCACCUUCCUCUGGAUCUCCUCUCUGGGGGCAGCUCCUCUGUGCCGGUGUUCCUCCUAAUGUGUG